Long non-coding RNA from Lucilia cuprina (Australian sheep blowfly), 323 nucleotides. RefSeq lists it as uncharacterized. The record is from RefSeq and is a predicted model, not a curated record. The transcript has 2 exons. Lineage: Eukaryota; Metazoa; Arthropoda; Insecta; Diptera; Calliphoridae.
UAAACUAUGAUUCAUAUUAAGUCAAUAAUAAAUAAAAAGUUAUAAAAUCUAUAUAGCUGUGUAAUCUGCAAUCAUUUUCUUAUUGUAAAUAGAACCUCAAACAAUUAUAUUUCUCUCGUAAAAUGGCAUAUUUUCUAAACUUAUAUGCAUUUAUAAUGUUUUUUUGUAUAUUUGAGAAUAUGUUUAAUACGGCUGCUAAUCCUUUGGACAUUGCCCAGUGGAAUAAAAAUCAAGAUAAACCGGCAUAUGCCAUUUGGACUUGAAAUUGCGAUAAGUUUUAAUACAGAAAUAAUACAAAUAAAUUUUACGACAAAAUUUGACUA